AUGGCCUGGACUCCUCUGCUCCUCGCGCUCCUCUCUCUCUGCACAGGGUCCCUCUCCCAGCCUGUGCUGACCCAGCCGCCCUCCCUCUCUGCAUCUCCGGGAGCCACGGCCAGACUCCCCUGCACCCUGAGCAGCGACCUCAGUGUUGGUGGAAAAAACAUGUACUGGUACCAGCAGAAGCCAGGGAGCGCACCCCGGUUUUUCCUGUACUACUACUCAGACUCAGACAUGAAGCUGGGACCUGGGGUCCCCAGUCGAGUCUCUGGAUCCAAAGACGCCUCGACCAACACAGCGCAUCUGCUCAUCUCGGGGCUGCAGCCUGAGGACGAGGCUGACUAUUACUGCGCUACAUACUAUAGCAGUGGGGGCAGCUACCCUUACCCACAGGACCUGUGUCCCCGGGAGGAGGGAGGUCACACUCGAUGGAGCAGCAGCACAGGCGUCCCUGCUGCCCUGGCCCCGGAGUCUCAGGCUGCAGAGCCCAUGGGUCCCUGGGAACAGCCGCUGUCCACGCCCCUCAGUGCUGAGCUCUGA
This is a non-coding RNA of Eptesicus fuscus (big brown bat), 534 nucleotides long. Lineage: Eukaryota; Metazoa; Chordata; Mammalia; Chiroptera; Vespertilionidae. The record is from the annotation of a RefSeq genome assembly.